UACCACCCUUUAAUGUUUGAUGUUCUAACGUGGACCCGUGAUCCGGGUUGCGGACAGUGUCUGGUGGGUAGUUUGACUGGGGCGGUCUCCUCCUAAAGAGUAACGGAGGAGCACGAAGGUUGGCUAAUCCUGGUCGGACAUCAGGAGGUUAGUGCAAUGGCAUAAGCCAGCUUGACUGCGAGCGUGACGGCGCGAGCAGGUGCGAAAGCAGGUCAUAGUGAUCCGGUGGUUCUGAAUGGAAGGGCCAUCGCUCAACGGAUAAAAGGUACUCCGGGGAUAACAGGCUGAUACCGCCCAAGAGUUCAUAUCGACGGCGGUGUUUGGCACCUCGAUGUCGGCUCAUCACAUCCUGGGGCUGAAGUAGGUCCCAAGGGUAUGGCUGUUCGCCAUUUAAAGUGGUACGCGAGCUGGGUUUAGAACGUCGUGAGACAGUUCGGUCCCUAUCUGCCGUGGGCGCUGGAGAACUGAGGGGGGCUGCUCCUAGUACGAGAGGACCGGAGUGGACGCAUCACUGGUGUUCGGGUUGUCAUGCCAAUGGCACUGCCCGGUAGCUAAAUGCGGAAGAGAUAAGUGCUGAAAGCAUCUAAGCACGAAACUUGCCCCGAGAUGAGUUCUCCCUGAGACUUAGAGUCUCCUGAAGGAACGUUGAAGACGACGACGUUGAUAGGCCGGGUGUGUAAGCGCAGCGAUGCGUUGAGCUAACCGGUACUAAUGAACCGUGAGGCUUAACCUUACAACGCCGAAG
RNAcentral lists this ribosomal RNA (745 nucleotides) under Salmonella enterica subsp. enterica. Its description in RNAcentral is "partial 23S ribosomal RNA". It matches the Rfam family "Bacterial large subunit ribosomal RNA", at positions 2198 to 2925 of the family's 2925-position model. RNAcentral also lists the same sequence under 1 other name. The record is from RNAcentral. Lineage: Bacteria; Pseudomonadati; Pseudomonadota; Gammaproteobacteria; Enterobacterales; Enterobacteriaceae.